Molecule: small nucleolar RNA, 112 nt
Filed under: Henningerozyma blattae CBS 6284
Lineage: Eukaryota; Fungi; Ascomycota; Saccharomycetes; Saccharomycetales; Saccharomycetaceae
Description: Tetrapisispora blattae CBS 6284 Small nucleolar RNA snR60/Z15/Z230/Z193/J17
Rfam family: Small nucleolar RNA snR60/Z15/Z230/Z193/J17
About the family: The members of this family belong to the C/D class of snoRNAs which contain the C (UGAUGA) and D (CUGA) box motifs.
Source: Rfam by way of RNAcentral
CUUUCGUCUGUGAUGAUUCAAAUAAUGCAUAGUUCAACUGAUAUGCCAACGUUUGGUAGAGUGAAGAAAAAAAUCAUCGAAUUUAGUCUUUCGCUCCUAUCUGAGACAUCUG